GUGCUUGCUUCAGCAACACAUAUGCUAAAACUGGAACGAUUACAGAGAUUAGCAUGGCCUCUGCACAAGGAUGACAUGCAAAUUUGUGAAGCAUUCCAUAUGAAA
Molecule: small nuclear RNA, 105 nt
Organism: Neomonachus schauinslandi (Hawaiian monk seal)
Lineage: Eukaryota; Metazoa; Chordata; Mammalia; Carnivora; Phocidae
Source: RefSeq, a predicted model, not a curated record